GACGAACGCUGGCGGCGUGCUUAACACAUGCAAGUCGUACGGUAAGGCCCUUUCGGGGGUACACGAGUGGCGAACGGGUGCGUAACACGUGCGUAACCUGCCCACAACUUUGGGAUAACGCUAGGAAACUGGUGCUAAUACUGGAUAUGUGCUCCUGCUGCAUGGUGGGGGUUGGAAAGCUCCGGCGGUUGUGGAUGGACUCGCGGCCUAUCAGCUUGUUGGUGGGGUAGUGGCCUACCAAGGCGGCGACGGGUAGCCGGCCUGAGAGGGUGACCGGCCACAUUGGGACUGAGAUACGGCCCAGACUCCUACGGGAGGCAGCAGUGGGGAAGAUUGCACAAUGGGCGCAAGCCUGAUGCAGCAACGCCGCGUGCGGGAUGACGGCCUUCGGGUUGUAAACCGCUUUCAGCAGGGACGAAGCUUUUUGUGACGGUACCUGCAGAAGAAGCACCGGCUAACUACGUG
This 465-nucleotide ribosomal RNA is filed under the name uncultured bacterium. Its description in RNAcentral is "partial 16S ribosomal RNA". It matches the Rfam family "Bacterial small subunit ribosomal RNA", at positions 28 to 507 of the family's 1533-position model. The record is from RNAcentral.